AGGAUGAACGCUAGCGGCAGGCUUAAUACAUGCAAGUCGAGGGGCAGCACAGGUAGCAAUACUGGGUGGCGACCGGCAAACGGGUGCGGAACACGUACGCAACCUUCCUUUAAGUGGGGGAUAGCCCAGGGAAACUUGGAUUAAUACCCUUAACAUUAUGAGAUGGCAUCAUUUUAUAAUUAAAGCUCCGGCGCUUAAAGAUGGGCGUG
This 209-nucleotide ribosomal RNA is filed under the name uncultured soil bacterium. RNAcentral describes it as "partial 16S ribosomal RNA". It matches the Rfam family "Bacterial small subunit ribosomal RNA", at positions 26 to 233 of the family's 1533-position model. The record is from RNAcentral.